UGAAAGUCUGCCUGAAGGGGGCUGCCUGGAGAGCUAACACAGCUGUAUAUUAUUGUUUUUGUUUGUUUGUUUGUUUGUUUUUUGUUUUUUCUUCUCAAGUUUCAGACAUGACCCUGGACAGAAAAGCAGAAGAUGGUCUUCCAAAACACGAAUCACACUAUACUGAGCAGAUGAAACAUGUUCUGAGAUACAAGAACAAGCCAGG
Molecule: long non-coding RNA, 205 nt
Filed under: Mustela putorius furo (domestic ferret)
Lineage: Eukaryota; Metazoa; Chordata; Mammalia; Carnivora; Mustelidae
Description: lncRNA (ENSMPUG00000030970.1)
Source: RNAcentral